UGAGGAAUAUUGGUCAAUGGGUGCAAGCCUGAACCAGCCAUCCCGCGUGAAGGACGACUGCCCUAUGGGUUGUAAACUUCUUUUGUAUAGGGAUAAACCUACCCUCGUGAGGGUAGCUGAAGGUACUAUACGAAUAAGCACCGGCUAACUCCGUGCCAGCAGCCGCGGUAAUACGGAGGGUGCAAGCGUUAUCCGAAUUUAUUGGGUUUAAAGGGUCCGUAGGCGGACUUAUAAGUCAGUGGUGAAAGCCUGUCGCUUAACGAUAGAACUGCCAUUGAUACUGUAAGUCUUGAGUAUAUUUGAGGUAGCUGGAAUAAGUAGUGUAGCGGUGAAAUGCAUAGAUAUUACUUAGAACACCAAUUGCGAAGGCAGGUUACCAAGAUAUAACUGACGCUGAGGGACGAAAGCGUGGGGAGCGAACA
RNAcentral lists this ribosomal RNA (422 nucleotides) under uncultured bacterium. RNAcentral describes it as "bacterial SSU rRNA". It matches the Rfam family "Bacterial small subunit ribosomal RNA", at positions 355 to 774 of the family's 1533-position model. The record is from RNAcentral.